This 26-nucleotide non-coding RNA is filed under the name Homo sapiens (human). Lineage: Eukaryota; Metazoa; Chordata; Mammalia; Primates; Hominidae. The record is from RNAcentral.
CAGUGGUGGAGGCCGAGAUGGUGGAC